This 492-nucleotide ribosomal RNA is filed under the name uncultured bacterium. Its description in RNAcentral is "partial 16S ribosomal RNA". It matches the Rfam family "Bacterial small subunit ribosomal RNA", at positions 36 to 507 of the family's 1533-position model. The record is from RNAcentral.
CUUUCCCUCUUUCUUUCUGCCUAACACAUGCAAGUCGAACGGCAGCACAGUAAGAGCUUGCUCUUACGGGUGGCGAGUGGCGGACGGGUGAGGAAUACAUCGGAAUCUACUUUUUCGUGGGGGAUAACGUAGGGAAACUUACGCUAAUACCGCAUACGACCUACGGGUGAAAGCAGGGGAUCUUCGGACCUUGCGCGAUUGAAUGAGCCGAUGUCGGAUUAGCUAGUUGGCGGGGUAAAGGCCCACCAAGGCGACGAUCCGUAGCUGGUCUGAGAGGAUGAUCAGCCACACUGGAACUGAGGCACGGUCCAGACUCCUACGGGAGGCAGCAGUGGGGAAUAUUGGACAAUGGGCGCAAGCCUGAUCCAGCCAUACCGCGUGGGUGAAGAAGGCCUUCGGGUUGUAAAGCCCUUUUGUUGGGAAAGAAAAGCAGCAGGUUAAUACCCCGCUGUUCUGACGGUACCCAAAGAAUAAGCACCGGCUAACUUCGUG